CCUACGGGAGGCAGCAGUGGGGAAUUUUGGACAAUGGACGCAAGUCUGAUCCAGCCAUGCCGCGUGUGGGAAGAAGGCCUUCGGGUUGUAAACCACUUUUUGUCAGGGAAGAAACGGUCUGGGUUAAUACCUUGGGCUAAUGACGGUACCUGAAGAAUAAGCACCGGCUAACUACGUGCCAGCAGCCGCGGUAAUACGUAGGGUGCAAGCGUUAAUCGGAAUUACUGGGCGUAAAGCGUGCGCAGGCGGUUAUGCAAGACAGAUGUGAAAUCCCCGGGCUCAACCUGGGAACUGCAUUUGUGACUGCAUGGCUAGAGUACGGUAGAGGGGGAUGGAAUUCCGCGUGUAGCAGUGAAAUGCGUAGAUAUGCGGAGGAACACCGAUGGCGAAGGCAAUCCCCUGGACCUGUACUGACGCUCAUGCGCGAAAGCGUGGGGAGCAAACAGGUAUUAGAUACCCUGGUAGUCCACGCCCUAAACGAUGUCAACUGGUUGUUGGGACGGUUUCUUCUCAGUAACGUAGCUAACGCGUGAAGUUGACCGCCUGGGGGAGGUACGCGCGAGUAGACGUACGAAGAGUAGACGCGNGAGAGAGACGACGACGACGACGAGGAGGAGG
Molecule: ribosomal RNA, 618 nt
Filed under: uncultured bacterium
Lineage: Bacteria
Description: bacterial SSU rRNA
Rfam family: Bacterial small subunit ribosomal RNA (bases 1-544)
Source: RNAcentral